AUGAUUGAUGAGGUAAAUUCUUACAUCAUGGGUAGAAUAGAAGGUGAAGAGGUAACAUAUCGAAGCUCAGAUACACUGUGCAAAGCAAUGUCAAAUUCGGAAGAUGUAGAUCAUUUGUACCCAACAGAAUUCCUGAAUAGCUUGAAGUGCCCUGGAAUAUCAGACCACAUACUACGGCUGAAAGUAGGCCUACCAAUUAUGCUGCUACGGAAUAUCAACCAAAGCAAGGGCUUAUGCAAUGGUACGAGACUAACUAUAACACAGCUAGGCAAAUGGUUCAUAGAAGCUCAAAUAAUAACAUGGACAAACAUUGGAAACAAGGUAUAUAUUCCAAGGAUAAUUAUGUCACCAAAUGACUCAAAAUGGCCGUUUGUGUUGAAAAGGAGGCAGUACCCAAUAUCAGUUUGUUUUGCAAUGACGAUAAAUAAGAGUCAAGGGCAGUCGCUAAAACAUGUGGGCCUAUAUUUACCGAAGCAGGUGUUCACUCAUGGCCAACUCUAUGUAGCGGUAUCAAGAGUCACAAGUAGAGAUGGACUUAAAGUUCUAAUUUCAGAUGAAGAAUCUAAGGAAAAUAAUUCGGCAAAAAACAUUGUGUACAAGGAGAUCCUUUAG
RNAcentral lists this ribosomal RNA (612 nucleotides) under Triticum aestivum (bread wheat). RNAcentral describes it as "partial small subunit ribosomal RNA". Lineage: Eukaryota; Viridiplantae; Streptophyta; Magnoliopsida; Poales; Poaceae. The record is from RNAcentral.